Molecule: non-coding RNA, 106 nt
Organism: Nitrosospira sp. 56-18
Lineage: Bacteria; Pseudomonadati; Pseudomonadota; Betaproteobacteria; Nitrosomonadales; Nitrosomonadaceae
Source: Rfam
GCAAAUAGAAACUAGGGUUCCGGUUUCCUCGAUAGGAAAUGCCUGGUCCGAGAGUUUCUGGCUUCGUCAUGACGAGGCUCCACGGAGGGAUAAAAGCCCGGGAGAU